Long non-coding RNA from Onychostruthus taczanowskii (white-rumped snowfinch), 901 nucleotides. RefSeq lists it as uncharacterized. The transcript is spliced from 4 exons. The record is from RefSeq and is a predicted model, not a curated record. NCBI's taxonomy places the organism in Eukaryota, Metazoa, Chordata, Aves, Passeriformes, Passeridae.
AGAGAUCUUGAUGCAGACGCCCUUUUGGAUUUCUUUUUAAUAGUGUGUGACCCUUCACCUUUGAUCCCUUGACCUGCAUUACUUUGGACUACAGAUUAAAAUUGUAGUGAGCUGUUCACGUAGUGCCACUGGGCUCUGCUGGUGCCUGGCCUCUGGAGGAGUCUGAAGAUCACCUGAACACCCUCCUGCUGACCCUUUCCCAGGGACACUGGACUGCAUUUGGCUCUGCUCCCCUAUCUGGGGGUCCUGCUGACCUCCAGGGCUGAGCCUGAGUUGUCUCCUUCCCCCUUGAGUCCUCUGUGAGCCUUGAGGGAUUCAGCCCUGGCAGGUUCUACCUGGUUCAUGUAGUGAGGAUGCACCAUCAACACCAGAACCUGAUUCAGGAAACGGGUUUGAAUUGGCAUCCCUGCCUGAGAAAGCCAGAAUGUUGACAACAUCCACUCCUGAAACAAGUCUUAAUUUUGAAAUCUAUGCAAUAUCUUCUGCUGCUGGAGGCUUUUAUGUAUUAACCUUAACAGAAGGCUGAAGGGCUGAAAUGAAAUCCUUGGCAAACGUACAAGAUUCAGAGCGUUGCAUGUCUUGCAGUUCAGGUUUGCCUUGUCUGCUUUUCAGCUCUUCUAGACAUUGGAAAUUCCAGUUUGUGUUUAUUUUCUCUGGAUUCCUUCCCACAAGACAGAAGUGAAUUCAGCAUGGAUUAUUGGGGAGAGCCUUGGCUGGGAAUAAGGAUAAUUGCAGCCUCUGGCUGUGCCACAGUUUCACUGAUGAUUUCUUUUAAGUUACUCACCUGCACUGUAUCUGUUUCCUCAGCUGUAAAAUGUGGGUAAUUACCUCCAUUGUAAAAUGUUACAGGGUCUGCUGGUAAUUAUAUGAACGAAGUGCUAAUUACAGUGAUUAUCCCUUG